This 406-nucleotide ribosomal RNA is filed under the name uncultured bacterium. RNAcentral describes it as "partial 16S ribosomal RNA". It matches the Rfam family "Bacterial small subunit ribosomal RNA", at positions 29 to 526 of the family's 1533-position model. The record is from RNAcentral.
AUUGAACGCUGGCGGCGUGCUUUACACAUGCAAGUCGAACGAGUGGCGAACGGGUGAGUAACGCAUCGGAACGUACCGAGUAAUGGGGGAUAACUGGCCGAAAGGACAGCUAAUACCGCAUAUUAUUCGAGCGGCCGAUGUCUGAUUAGCUGGUUGGCGGGGUAAAGGCCCACCAAGGCGACGAUCAGUAGCGGGUCUGAGAGGAUGAUCGGCCAAACUGGGACGGAGAAACGGCCCAGACUCCUACGGGAGGCAGCAGUGGGGAAUUUUGGACAAUGGGCGCAAGCCUGAGGAAGCCAGGCGGGGGGUCUGAAGAAGGCUUUCGGGUUGUAAAGGACGUUUGUCAGGGAAGCGGUACCUGAAGAAUAAGCACCGGCUAACUACGUGCCAGCAGCCGCGGUAAUUC